This 936-nucleotide ribosomal RNA is filed under the name Cibicidoides ungerianus. RNAcentral's name for it is "SSU rRNA". It matches the Rfam family "Eukaryotic small subunit ribosomal RNA", at positions 1183 to 1761 of the family's 1831-position model. The record is from RNAcentral. Lineage: Eukaryota; Foraminifera; Rotaliida; Anomalinidae.
AUGUGGCUUAUUUUGACUCAACGCGGGAAAUCUUACCGGGUCCGGACACACUGAGGAUUGACAGGCAAUAUUAAUACUUUUGCUUCGGCACUUGGUAUUAUGUUAAAUAUGCUAGUCCUUUCAUGAUUAUGUGAUAGGUGGUGCAUGGCCGUUCUUAGUUCGUGGAGUGAUCUGUCUGCUUAAUUGCGUUUCACUAAGGGCCUAUAAAUUUACGUAUGUUGCAUCGCACUUUGACCCCUUUCUUAAUUGAAAGCGCGUGUCUUAGUUUCGCUUUGCUCAUACAAUUAGGUCCUGAAAGCAACGAACGUGACCGCAACCUCUUGUUGCCUUUAUACCAAACGUGUUUGUAUAAUUUUUAUUACGCAUUCACGAAAAAAGGCUUUUUAAACUAGAGGGACCGCUGUUACUUUCUUAAACCAGAGGAAGGUUGCGGCAAUAACAGGUCUGUGAUGCCCUUAGAUGUUCCGGGCUGCACACGUGCUACAAUGAUUAUUGCAGUGAGCAUCUCAUUUUUACACACCGCAUGCGCGAGUCCAUUUAUUCACCUUCGGGUGUUUUAAAUGUGUACUUCUGCGCGCGGUAAAGCCUGCUUCGAAAGUAAGUGGGUAAUCAAUUAGAAGUAAUGAUUUCCUUUUUUUUAGCACACAUAUAUACGGCGUCUAUGCCCGGGCUGCCUUGUUGUAGCUUUUGUGCGUAUAGAUGUUUUUUCCGUAUGUGCGAUUGUCAAUUCAUGGUGGGGACAGACCAUUGUUAAUUGUUGGUCUCGGUCUUAACUAGGAAUGCCUUGUACGGGUCUUUGGUUCAACAAACCACCCGGAAUACGUCCCUGCCCUUUGUACACACCGCCCGUCGCUCUUACCGAUGGACUUCUCUGUGAGUUUGAGGGACUGGGAACGCAGGAAUUUAUUUCUGCACACCUUAUGGAAAACUAAAACG